Patella vulgata (common limpet) is the source of this 367-nucleotide long non-coding RNA. RefSeq lists it as uncharacterized. Lineage: Eukaryota; Metazoa; Mollusca; Gastropoda; Patellidae. The record is from RefSeq and is a predicted model, not a curated record. The transcript is spliced from 5 exons.
CAUCGCUAUGCUAUUCAAAUCACUGAUUCAAGGCAGAUUGUAAACAGAUACUUCAUAGUUAAAGAUCAAGAUGAGUACCAUAAUUACAGUUAUUGUGUUUUCUCUGGUUCUUGUCAGUUGCAGUUUUGGCCAGGAAUUCUCAGAUGUUGACACAAAUAGUAACAAGAAAUUGGUAUACGAAGAAUUUGAAGCUUUUUUCAAUAAUUUGGAUGGUAGCACAGCUGACGCCAAAGCUAUAAUAAAAAAAUACGAUUCAAAUGGGGAUGGAAAAGUGGAUGCGGCUGAAUUACGAAGCAAGUUCGAUGAAUUGGAUGGCAAUGGCAAUGGAUCAGUAACCAAAGCCGAAUACAAGGCAGUGUUUACAGAC